UACGGAGGGGGCUAGCGUUGUUCGGAAUUACUGGGCGUAAAGCGAACGUAGGCGGUGUUCCAUGUCAGAGGUGAAAGCCUGGGGCUCAACUCCAGAAUUGCCUUUGAAACGGGGACGCUUGAGUCCGAGAGAGGAUGGCGGAAUUCCUAGUGUAGGGGUGAAAUUCGUAGAUAUUAGGAAGAACACCGGUGGCGAAGGCGGCCAUCUGGCUCGGUACUGACGCUCAGGUUCGAAAGCGUGGGGAGCAAACGGG
This 253-nucleotide ribosomal RNA is filed under the name uncultured bacterium. RNAcentral describes it as "partial 16S ribosomal RNA". It matches the Rfam family "Bacterial small subunit ribosomal RNA", at positions 524 to 776 of the family's 1533-position model. The record is from RNAcentral.